Long non-coding RNA from Lethenteron reissneri (Far Eastern brook lamprey), 809 nucleotides. RefSeq lists it as uncharacterized. The record is from RefSeq and is a predicted model, not a curated record. NCBI's taxonomy places the organism in Eukaryota, Metazoa, Chordata, Hyperoartia, Petromyzontiformes, Petromyzontidae.
UGCUGCCUGCUGCUGCUGCCUGCUGCUGCUGCUGCAGACUGGGACGUGUAUUACAGAGACGUCUACCAGGGCCUGUGGGACUGCAAGGCCGACGCGGCGGACGAACUCUCCUUCCGCCGGGGCGACCUCGUCCACAUCGUGAGCAAGGACUACGAGAAGUGGCAGUGGUGGGUGGGCGAGCUCGACGGCAAAGUGGGGCUCGUGCCGCGGGCGUUCCUCGCCGCGGCGUACGAGAUGUGACGCGCGCGCCACUCGGGAGAGACGUCACGUGGUCAUGGAGACUCACAACCACCAGCAGAGCCGGCCACAGGAGCACGGGGAAACUCACCCACUGUGUGCCCCCCCCCCCCACCCCCACAACUCUACCCGAUGCCUUCAAACUAAACCGAAAGUGUUACACUUGACACCGUGACGUCAAAGCGCCCCGUCCCCCCAAAGCGCGGGGCCCGGGGCGUAACCCCUAGAGACGGCUCUGACAACCACCUUUCCUUGCUUUAACCACCAAAUCAUUACGAUAACCACCAUCCCUAUAUCUGACCACCAACCAGAACUGCAAGCACGAACCUAAAUUCCAACCACGCACUUACACACAGACGUAUACAUUCACACAGAGACCCACAAACUUACAGAGAGACCCAUAAACUCACAGAGAGCCCCACAGACUCGCACAGAGACCCAUAAACUCAUAGAGAGACACAUAGACUCACACAGCAGAGACCCAUAGACUCACACAGAGACCCAUAGACUCACACAGCAGAGACCCAUAGACUCACACAGAGACCCACAGACUCACACAGCGACCCACAAAC